RNAcentral lists this unclassified non-coding RNA (784 nucleotides) under Priapulus caudatus. Its description in RNAcentral is "uncharacterized LOC106820347, transcript variant X1". Lineage: Eukaryota; Metazoa; Priapulida; Priapulimorpha; Priapulimorphida; Priapulidae. The record is from RNAcentral.
CCACGACAUGAAGCCAGGAGCAGAUGGGGAUGUGGAUGAGGAGCACUCCCAGCUAGAGGAGGAAGAGACAGAGGAGUUCCGGGAUGAGGCCUCCUCUGAGCAGAGCAAGAAGGAGUCGGAGGAGCAGGGCGAGGUGAUCAGCAAGGAGCAGCUCGUCGCGCUUGCCGCGAAGGUGAGCGCCAUCUGGCAGCGGCUCGCAGCGCUGCUCAAGUUCCAGGCGGACGAGAUCGUGUACUUUGAGAGCGACACACGGGACGCGAGCGAGCAGGCGCAGAAGAUGCUGCAGAUCUGGAUGGAGAACGAGGAGGAAGCCACGGCCGAGAUGCUGCGAGCUCCCCUCGUCGAGCUGGGGCUCGAGGCGGCGUGGAGCGAAGUGUUUCAGAGCGUGAGUUGAGGUGAGGCGGAGGAGGAACGGAGGAGCGAGGUGUUUCAGAGCGUGAGCUGAGGCGAGGUGGAGGAGGAACGGAGGAGCGAGGUGUUUCAGAGCGUGAGCUGAGGCGAGGCGGAGGAGGAACAGAGGAGCGAGGUGUUUCAGAGCGUGAGCUGAGGCGGCGAGGUGGAGGAGGAACACACGUUGAUGAGGAUGAAGCUCUGGUGGAGCUCGUCUGGACGAUGCUAGGUGAUGUUCAGGUUGAUACUGGAAUCACUAGACACCGCCACCGAGAAGAUUCUGUGUGAAAGAUGCCCAACGAUGAUGCUUGACAGAAGCUGGCGAACGAUGGCAUUAUUACGGUAAAUGCAUAUUUAUAGAAAAUAAAAACAAAACCAUUGAAGCUGUGGUUUA